RNAcentral lists this transfer RNA (72 nucleotides) under Allopsontus sp. 2 JZ-2014. RNAcentral describes it as "tRNA-Val". It matches the Rfam family "tRNA". Rfam says of the family: Transfer RNA (tRNA) molecules are approximately 80 nucleotides in length. Their secondary structure includes four short double-helical elements and three loops (D, anti-codon, and T loops). Lineage: Eukaryota; Metazoa; Arthropoda; Insecta; Archaeognatha; Machilidae. The record is from RNAcentral.
CAAAAUAUAGUUUAGUUAGUUAAACAUUUCAUUUACACUGAAAAAAAAUCUGUGCAAUUCAGUUUAUUUUGA